ACAAAGGCUCUUUUAAGAGCCACCCAUUCUUUCAAGCUUAAGAGUU
Loxodonta africana (African savanna elephant) is the source of this 46-nucleotide regulatory RNA element. It matches the Rfam family "Histone 3' UTR stem-loop". Rfam says of the family: The mRNAs of metazoan histone genes lack a poly-A tail. 3' end processing occurs at a site between a highly conserved stem-loop (modelled by this family) and a purine rich region around 20 nts downstream (the histone downstream element, or HDE). NCBI's taxonomy places the organism in Eukaryota, Metazoa, Chordata, Mammalia, Proboscidea, Elephantidae. The record is from Rfam.